CAGGAACAGAGAAGGAGCAAUUAAAAACCAAGUUAUCUUGAACUUUCUGACUUACCAUAAUACACUGGAGUAGUGAUGGACUGUGUAAUUUUUUCCUGCUGUGAGUUGCUUCAGGUGAAAGCAGUUGAAAGACAGAAAGAGUAGUUUUUCUUCCCAAAGCUAUAAAAACAAGUGAAUGUUACAGGUAUAGCUUCAGCUUGGGAGAUCCUGGAAUCCCUGUGUCUUCUGGACACUGUCAUGCUCUUCUGUAUGCUGGCAGCAAAUUGUGCUCCAAGUGCAACCUGUCUACUUUGUUUGCCUGUCACUGCAGCUGUAGCUGUCUGCCAAGCUAACUGCUUCCAGGAGUGCUAA
RNAcentral lists this long non-coding RNA (351 nucleotides) under Cyanistes caeruleus (blue tit). RNAcentral describes it as "lncRNA (ENSCCEG00000013826.1)". Lineage: Eukaryota; Metazoa; Chordata; Aves; Passeriformes; Paridae. The record is from RNAcentral.